RNA transcript from Zalophus californianus (California sea lion), 2987 nucleotides. It is a transcript of the gene named 26S proteasome regulatory subunit 10B-like, with no coding region annotated. The transcript has a single exon. NCBI's taxonomy places the organism in Eukaryota, Metazoa, Chordata, Mammalia, Carnivora, Otariidae. The record is from RefSeq and is a predicted model, not a curated record.
UCUACAGAGUAUCAUGUCGUCUGCAAAGAAUGAAAGUUUGCUAAUUUGGAUGCCUUUUUUUUUUCCUUUUUGUUGUCUGAUUGCUGAGGCAGGGACUUCCAGUACCAUGUUGAACAACAGUUUUACCAUAUUCUUAACAGCUGUUAUGUCAACAUACUUUAAAUUAUUGAAAAAGUACCACUUUUCAGAAGAAUUAUGCCCAGGAGGGAUAACUCUCUCUGUUCCCCUUAUAAACCAGGCUUCUGUCAUUCCAAGACCUUCAACAUGGGUCCCAAACUGCCUUACCUAGAUUUAUUUCUUCUUAUUUCUCAAGAGUAAUUUUCCAAUCCAGCCAAACUGAUUUAUUCACCAUUCAUUCCCUGAAAGUAUCUUGUAGAUUAGCCUAGAGAGGUAUGGAUAGAAAUGGAAAGAAGUAGAAACAGAUCCAACUGAUGGGAGGGGUGACAGAAAGGAACAAAUCAAGGAUGUUUCCUUGGUUUUGGUUUGAUGGAUGAGCUAUUUACUCAUGGAGGAGGAAGGAGUUUAGACAGAAUUCUAUUUGGGACAUGUUGAGAUGUCAUAUUUCUAAGUAGAGCUGUCACGUAGGUAAUCAAUUAAAAUAAUGGAUAUAGUUAAGGUAACUUAAGAAAAUGUUUUUUAGAGAAAGGAAGCAAAUAGAGGAUCAGGUUCGGAGACAGUCUAACAUUUAGAGGUUAGAGGAUGAGUCAGCAAAGAAAGACAAAGAGUGAUCAGUGAAAGAGGAAAACAAGCAGAAUGGAGUCUCAUGAAAGCAAGAGAAAUGUGUUUUAAGUGGGAAAAGUGGUCAAUCUUUUUUUUUUUUUUUUUAAGAGAGAGGUAGGGAGGGGCAGAGGGAAAGAGAAUCUUAAGCAGGGGGCCUCCAUCUCACAACCCUGAGAUCAUGACCUGAGCUGAAGUCGAGUCAGACACUUAACUGAGCCUCCCAGCUGCUCCGUGGUCAAUCAUUUUGAAUGUUAUUUACUGAAGCAUCAAGUAAUAGGAGCUUUGUUCACUGUAAUUGGCCACAGUGAGUUGAUGGUAAAUUCAGUAUAGGUGGAGGACAGCUUCCAAACUGGAUUGGGUUGAAGAGGUUAUAAAGUUGGUAAGGAAGUAAAGACAGUAAGUGUAGAUUACCAUUUGAGAAGUUUUGCCAUGAAGGGGAACAGGAAAAUAAAGUGAUAGUGGGCAAGAAAAUAAGAUUCUUGGUUUUUAUUUGGGAGAUAUUACAUCAAGUUUAUAUGCUGAUGGAGUGAGCCAUGAGAAAAGAGAAAGACUGAUGGGGUGCAAAUAAUAAAGGGAGGAAGAUUUUGAAUGAGAUCCAGAGCACAAGAGAGAAAUGAGUCCUUAAUACAUCAGGGACCUUUCAUUUAUAAAGAUGGUAAAAUGUGGUAAAUACAGGUGGGUUUGUAGAUUUGAUAGUAGAAACAUGAGAGCAUUUUUCUGUGAUUAACUCUGUAUUCUACUUAACUUUGAAGUGAAAUUACUACCCAAAACUGGUAAUUUGAUGGUACACCCGUGUCUGGUUUGAUUACUGUAUUUUUUUAAAAGAAUUAUUUAUUUAUUUUAGAGCAUGUGCACCAGAGUUUGGGGGGUGCAGAGGGAGAGAAUCUCAAGCAGACUCCCUGCUGAGUGUGGAGCCUGAUGCAGGGCUCAGUCUCACGACCCCUGAGAUAAUGACCUGAGCUGUACUCACGAGUCAAACACUUAACUGACUGAGCCACCCAAGUGCCCCUUUUCUUUCUUUUUGAUUUCCUUGAAAGAUAAUUGGGAUGAGUAGAGCCAUUCUUCCCCCAUCUUCCACUGCUGCUCUCCUCCUUCAUUCCACUUCUACCCCAAUGGCCAUGGCCAUUUUUGGCAUCCCCUAUGGGUGAUGGUAUCUCAUCAUGGCAGACCAUAGAGAUAAUGAGCUUCAAGGCUAUCACAAGAAAAGAUGGUGGAGCACAAGAUCAACUACUGUCUUAAACAGUUAACGGAACAAUUGAAAGAACUUACCAAUCAGUAUGAAAAGUCUGAAAAUGAUCCAAAGGACUACAGUCACCCAAAUCUGGGCAAACUUGUUUGUGAAGUACUUAAGAAGGUAACUGAAGAAAAAUUCGUUGUUAAAUGAACCAAGAUAGGUUGUCGCUUGUCAUUGUCAGCUUGAAAAAAGCUGAGGUCAGGAACAAGAGUUGUUUUGGCUGAUUACAUUGAUAUUUGCCAAGAUCCACUGGUUUACAACAUGUCUCAUUAAGGACAUAGGGAAUAUUUCUUUUUGUGAAGUGGAGGGGCUACCAGAAUAGAUCAGAGAAUUCAGAGGAAAUAAUAGAACUACCUCUUAAAACCUAGAAUAAUAGAACUACCUCUUAAAACCUAGAAUUAUUUCAUUAUAGGGAUAUCUCCAAAAGGCUGUUUGUUAUAUGGGCCAAUAGUUAAGAAAAACACUAAUAGCAAGAGCUGCUGUUAACCAGCUGGAAUACAAUUUCUUAAAUGUAGACCAGUACAUUGGUGAAAGUGCUCAGGAAUCAUCAGUCAUGCAUUAGUUUUAUGGAUAAAAAAUGAUGCCAUUGGUGGAUACUGGUUUCCUGGAAGUACUUCAGCUGAUAGAUUCAGAGGACUUUAUGGAGUUACCCAAAUGGAUGGAUAUGAUACUCCGCACAGUUAAAAUAAUCAUGGCUACAAACAAGCACAGUGGAUCCUGCUUUGCUGUCUCCAGAUAAACAGAAAAGAUACACAUUAAUCUAUCUAUAAGCAAGGUUAAAUAUCUUAAAAAUCUCUGGAGGUACCAUUACAAAGCAUGACAACAUAGAUUAUUAGAAGCAUUUAUGAAGCAUUUACGGAGCUUUCAGAUGGCUCUAAUGGAGCAGACCUGAAAAAUGUUUGCACUGAAGCAGGCAUAUUUACAAUUCAUGCUGCUCAUGAGUUUGUAGUAUAGAAAGACUUAAUGAGAGCAAUCAGAAGUAGCUGAUUUUAAGUAGCUAGAAUUUAAAUUGGACUACAAACCUGAAUUCUAA